GAAACAAUGGCUCAGUGGUAGAGCAUCUGGUUUGCAUACAGAAAGUCCCUUGUUCAAAACCCAGCAUGUUGGGAAUGUCU
Molecule: non-coding RNA, 80 nt
Organism: Podarcis lilfordi (Lilford's wall lizard)
Lineage: Eukaryota; Metazoa; Chordata; Lepidosauria; Squamata; Lacertidae
Source: the annotation of a GenBank genome assembly